AAAUUGAAGAGUUUGAUCAUGGCUCAGAUUGAACGCUGGCGGCAGGCCUAACACAUGCAAGUCGAGCGGUAGCACAGAAGAGCUUGCUCUUUGGGUGACGAGCGGCGGACGGGUGAGUAAUGUCUGGGAAACUGCCUGAUGGAGGGGGAUAACUACUGGAAACGGUAGCUAAUACCGCAUAACCUCGCAAGAGCAAAGAGGGGGACCUUCGGGCCUCUCGCCAUCAGAUGUGCCCAGAUGGGAUUAGCUAGUAGGUGAGGUAAUGGCUCACCUAGGCGACGAUCCCUAGCUGGUCUGAGAGGAUGACCAGCCACACUGGAACUGAGACACGGUCCAGACUCCUACGGGAGGCAGCAGUGGGGAAUAUUGCACAAUGGGCGCAAGCCUGAUGCAGCCAUGCCGCGUGUGUGAAGAAGGCCUUCGGGUUGUAAAGCACUUUCAGCGGGGAGGAAGGCGGUAAGGUUAAUAACCUUAUCGAUUGACGUUACCCGCAGAAGAAGCACCGGCUAACUCCGUGCCAGCAGCCGCGGUAAUACGGAGGGUGCAAGCGUUAAUCGGAAUGACUGGGCGUAAAGCGCACGCAGGCGGUCUGUUAAGUUGGAUGUGAAAUCCCCGGGCUUAACCUGGGAACUGCAUUCAAAACUGACAGGCUAGAGUCUUGUAGAGGGGGGUAGAAUUCCAGGUGUAGCGGUGAAAUGCGUAGAGAUCUGGAGGAAUACCGGUGGCGAAGGCGGCCCCCUGGACAAAGACUGACGCUCAGGUGCGAAAGCGUGGGGAGCAAACAGGAUUAGAUACCCUGGUAGUCCACGCUGUAAACGAUGUCGAUUUGGAGGUUGUGCCCUUGAGGCGUGGCUUCCGGAGCUAACGCGUUAAAUCGACCGCCUGGGGAGUACGGCCGCAAGGUUAAAACUCAAAUGAAUUGACGGGGGCCCGCACAAGCGGUGGAGCAUGUGGUUUAAUUCGAUGCAACGCGAAGAACCUUACCUACUCUUGACAUCCAGAGAAUUUGCUAGAGAUAGCUUAGUGCCUUCGGGAACUCUGAGACAGGUGCUGCAUGGCUGUCGUCAGCUCGUGUUGUGAAAUGUUGGGUUAAGUCCCGCAACGAGCGCAACCCUUAUCCUUUGUUGCCAGCGAUUCGGUCGGGAACUCAAAGGAGACUGCCGGUGAUAAACCGGAGGAAGGUGGGGAUGACGUCAAGUCAUCAUGGCCCUUACGAGUAGGGCUACACACGUGCUACAAUGGCGUAUACAAAGAGAAGCGACCUCGCGAGAGCAAGCGGACCUCAUAAAGUACGUCGUAGUCCGGAUUGGAGUCUGCAACUCGACUCCAUGAAGUCGGAAUCGCUAGUAAUCGUAGAUCAGAAUGCUACGGUGAAUACGUUCCCGGGCCUUGUACACACCGCCCGUCACACCAUGGGAGUGGGUUGCAAAAGAAGUAGGUAGCUUAACCUUCGGGAGGGCGCUUACCACUUUGUGAUUCAUGACUGGGGUGAAGUCGUAACAAGGUAACCGUAGGGGAACCUGCGGUUGGAUCACCUCCUUACCAAGAAG
Molecule: ribosomal RNA, 1550 nt
Filed under: Pectobacterium brasiliense
Lineage: Bacteria; Pseudomonadati; Pseudomonadota; Gammaproteobacteria; Enterobacterales; Pectobacteriaceae
Description: bacterial SSU rRNA
Rfam family: Bacterial small subunit ribosomal RNA
Source: RNAcentral